Balaenoptera musculus (blue whale) is the source of this 1750-nucleotide long non-coding RNA. RefSeq lists it as uncharacterized. Lineage: Eukaryota; Metazoa; Chordata; Mammalia; Artiodactyla; Balaenopteridae. The record is from RefSeq and is a predicted model, not a curated record. The transcript is spliced from 2 exons.
GGUGCGAAUUCAACCGGUUCUCUCCAAGAUUUUUCAUCCUGGGCUGUUCCAUCUCUGCAGCCGCUCAGCUACGUGUUCAGUAGCGUUUCAGCACUCUCGCCUACAGUCUUCCGACCUGACCCGGGAGCUAAACCAAUCACAGGCCAGGCCUAAGCAGAAUGGCCCCGCCCACUCUCUUUCGGAUCCCUUUUUAUGCCGCAGGAAAGACGUGGCCGUGUUGGGAAGGUUGGGGCUUCGGGACAGAGAAAUGGGGAGCGUUUGCAGACAGGAUGCCGGUUCAGCGUUGGAGAGAGUGGGGAUUAGGAGGCUAGAGCUGUAGCUGAAGGAGCAGAGGUGUUACGAGGAGAGCACUCUGGAUGUACUUCGUGACGCGAGACCGUGAGGGGGUGAGGACCGGGGCAGAUGUGUUUUAUGGAGCAGACGCUGGCAACCACAGUCCCCGCCAGGAGUAUCACUUCUGUCUCACGGUACAAGAGCUCGAGAGCCCUCGCCACUGCCGCCUGCUGGCCGGGCCCGGGCCUUGAAGCGGACGGGAACCUCUCCCCCAUCCCUGCCUCUGGGACCUAAUGGCGGCUGUGAUCUCCAUGGGUCGAAGCCCACAGGACCCUGCCCCUUGUUUGCGCUGCCAGAGGAGCCUGAAGUCUGACUGGGGCCGGGGCACCCGGCUCCCUCAGUGAUGACAGCUGGGCAGGGUCUGGAGGCCUGGCCCUGAGGGCGCCGCCAACUGAGAUCCACCUCUUCAGCCAGGCCUGGGCACUGGGGGAGCAUCUAGUCUGGGUGCUGAACCAGCGCUCCUGGGCAGGGUAAGCGGCCUGCGCAGGCACCCCCUCCUCUUAGCCCGGGCCUGGACCUCUGAAAGCUGAGCCUUGGGACCUUGCCCUUUCUUGUCAGGACAGAGAAUAACAUUUGUUUUGGUGGAGGUUUCCAGGAACGUCGUGACCUGACCUCAAGAACAAGGGAUCUGAUAGCAAGAAGUGUGCAACAGCUAACCACACCCCUCCCUCACCUUUCCUGUAAAAGGGUUUUGCUGAAAGCUUUCAGGGAGUUCAGGGUUUUUAUGGCAUGAACCAUUGGUCUCUUUGCCUGGCCCUGCAAUAAACCUUUCUCUGCUCCAAACUCCGACGUUUUGGUAUUGUUUGGCCUCACUGUGCGUCGGACACGUGGACUUCCGCUCAGUAACAAAUACAUUCAAGAAGGAUUCUGUGUAUCUUGAAUAGUCACAAGUCAUUUGUUUUUGUGAAUACUGUGAUACAGGGAUCAACUUUCUUUUUUCCUCUGUAUAGAUAAUUGUCCAGCAGCUUUAUUUAAAGUGAGUCUCUUCUACACUGUUGGGCAGUGCCAUCUCUAUCAUAAAUCAAGCGUCCAUGUCUGUAUGGCUCUGAUUUAGGAUGUCGUUCUGUUCCAUUGCUCUCUCGUUUAUUCCCGGGCCAAUACUACUCUGUUUUAGUUACGGGAUCAUUUCUAAGUCUUAGGUCUGAUAAAGCAAGGCCGCCUACUGUAUUCUUUUUCUACAAGAGUGUCUUUGUUCUUUUGGCCCUGUAUAUUUUCACAUAAAAUUUUACCUCAACUUGUCAACUUCCACACACACACACACACACACACAAAAGUCUGGGAUUUGUACUGGGGCUGCAUUGAAUCUAUAAAUCUUUUGAGUAAUGACAUUUAUAGUAUGAAGGCUUAAAAUUCAUGAACACCAUGUAUCAUUCCAUUUAUUCUUUAAUGUCUCUGAAUAAAGUUGAUGUUUCUUAUA